Ziziphus jujuba (common jujube) is the source of this 753-nucleotide long non-coding RNA. RefSeq lists it as uncharacterized. The transcript has 2 exons. The record is from RefSeq and is a predicted model, not a curated record. NCBI's taxonomy places the organism in Eukaryota, Viridiplantae, Streptophyta, Magnoliopsida, Rosales, Rhamnaceae.
UGAACGUCGAGCAUUCCUUAAAAUUCAAAUUCCCUCUACAAAACUUCAUUUUCCUUUGGUUUUAGCCAAGUUACCGAUUAAGAUUCAAUAUGAGAGAAUUUGUUUCCUAAAACUAACCUUUUAUUUUAUUUAUUUAUUUUUCCUUUGAAACUCUCUUGGACAUUUUGGUUAUUAACCUUUUAUUAUUAUUAUUGUUAUUAUUUUUUUUUCCAUGUUAGAUGCAGCGUCUUGAACUUGGAUACGUUCAUGGUGGUUUUUGUUUUGAAGUCAGAGAAAUUUGGAGGCCGACAAAUUUGGAAACGAAAGCUCUAUCUGAAACAAUUUAUGCAUGAUGCGGCUAGAAUUGACCUGGGUUUUAUUGGUGGGAAAUACACCUAGGAUAAUAGACAGGGCGGACAAGCUCUAACAAGAGAAAGAUUAGACGGAGCAGUGGCGGAAAAAGAUUGGUUGGAGAUUAAUCCACAAGCAGCGGUUGAGCAUUUACCAUUUGAAGAAUCUGAUCAUUGUCCUAUUAUUAUUCGUUUGGAAGGGGAUCAAAGGAAGACAGGAAGACCUUUCAAAUUUUUGAAAGCUUGGACCUUGGACAAAUCUAGCUCCUAUGUUGUAGAGAAGGCCUGGAAUCCUGAUUGGCAGCCUGAAACAAACAGCUACUUAUUAAGAAAAAGCCUUAUUAAUACUUCGAAAGCUCUGAAAAUUUGGAAUAAAAAUAUUUUUGGAUUUGCUAAUUAGCAAAUACAAAAUUUAGAACAAGAA